This 470-nucleotide ribosomal RNA is filed under the name uncultured bacterium. RNAcentral's name for it is "bacterial SSU rRNA". It matches the Rfam family "Bacterial small subunit ribosomal RNA", at positions 917 to 1382 of the family's 1533-position model. The record is from RNAcentral.
GGGCUCACACAAGCGGUGGAGCAUGUGGCUCAAUUCGAGGCAACGCGAAGAACCUUAUCCUGGGCUUGACAUGGUCGGAUUAGUUCCGUGAAAGCGGAAUGACGCCUUCGGGUGGAACGAUCACAGGUGCUGCAUGGCUGUCGUCAGCUCGUGUCGUGAGAUGUCGGGUUUAGUCCUUCAACGAGCGAAACCCCUGUCUCUAGUUGCCAGCAUUCAGUUGGGGACUCUAGAGAGACCGCCGGUGUUAAACCGGAGGAAGGCGGGGACGACGUCAAGUCAUCACGGCCUUUAUGCCCAGGGCUGCACACGUGCUACAAUGGGGCGGACAAAGGGACGCGAACGCGCGAGCGGGAGCAAAUCUCAAAAACCGCCCCCCAGUUCAGAUUGCAGGCUGCAAUUCGCCUGCAUGAAGCCGGAAUCGCUAGUAAUCGCAGAUCAGCUAUGCUGCGGUGAAUGUGUUCCUGAGCCUU